GGAUCCGUAGCGCAGAGGCAGGCGCCGCCGCCUAGGCAAGGCGGAUACGCCGGUUCGAAUCCGGCCGGAUCCA
RNAcentral lists this transfer RNA (73 nucleotides) under Actinacidiphila glaucinigra. RNAcentral's name for it is "Streptomyces glauciniger tRNA". It matches the Rfam family "tRNA". From Rfam's summary of the family: Transfer RNA (tRNA) molecules are approximately 80 nucleotides in length. Their secondary structure includes four short double-helical elements and three loops (D, anti-codon, and T loops). The record is from Rfam by way of RNAcentral. Lineage: Bacteria; Bacillati; Actinomycetota; Actinomycetes; Kitasatosporales; Streptomycetaceae.